GACGAACGCUGGCGGCGUGCUUAACACAUGCAAGUCGAACGGGAUUUCGUAAACAGAAGCCUCGGUGGAAGAUUACUAAUGAGAGUGGCGAACGGGUGAGUAACGCGUGAGCAACCUGCCUAUGACAGUGGGAUAGCCUCGGGAAACCGGGAUUAAUACCGCAUAAAAUCGUAGAAACACAUGUUUUAACGGUCAAAGAUUUAUCGGUCAUAGAUGGGCUCGCGUCUGAUUAGCUAGUUGGUGAGAUAACAGCCCACCAAGGCGACGAUCAGUAGCCGGUCUGAGAGAUGAACGGCCACAUUGGAACUGAGACACGGUCCAAACUCCUACGGGAGGCAGCAGUGGGGAAUAUUGCACAAUGGGGGAAACCCUGAUGCAGCGACGCCGCGUGAACGAAGAAGGUAUUCGUAUCGUAAAGUUCUGUCCUAUGGGAAGAUAAUGACAGUACCAUAGAAGAAAGCUCCGGCUAAAUACGUG
Molecule: ribosomal RNA, 477 nt
Filed under: uncultured bacterium
Lineage: Bacteria
Description: partial 16S ribosomal RNA
Rfam family: Bacterial small subunit ribosomal RNA
Source: RNAcentral